This 74-nucleotide transfer RNA is filed under the name Clostridia bacterium. Its description in RNAcentral is "tRNA-Arg". It matches the Rfam family "tRNA". Rfam says of the family: Transfer RNA (tRNA) molecules are approximately 80 nucleotides in length. Their secondary structure includes four short double-helical elements and three loops (D, anti-codon, and T loops). The record is from RNAcentral. Lineage: Bacteria; Bacillati; Bacillota; Clostridia. RNAcentral also lists the same sequence under 1 other name.
GUGCGCAUAGCUCAGCUGGAUAGAGCGUCUGGCUACGGACCAGAAGGUCGCGGGUUCGAAUCCUACUGCGCACG